AGAGUAAGAGAGGUUUGGAUACAGAGAAAUGAAUUGAGAUUGGCAUGAAUAAAAUAAAAAGUAUAAAGAAAAAUUGAAAUAUUAUUAAAAAUAUUAAUAAUACCACUACAAAUAAAUCUAUAUAAAAUGAUCUAUUUGAAAUUUUCCCAAAAUUAUUGAUAUGCAAAGUUGCAAGUCCUCAAGUGGCUUCGUCACUGAGCACGUAUGCCUAAUAUCUGCCAGUUGAAAUAAGGAAUUGAGAAUUAAAUUGCGUUAGAGAAAACGAAAAAAACGUGUUUAAUCAAUUAAUUCAUAAAAGUCUGCAAGGUAGGCCUCAGUACGUAAAUAUCCAGUUCUGACGUCAUCGAAUUAACAAUCAGGCAAUGUCGGCAAAAUACGUCAUCAUUGGCCCCCUCAACGAAAGACUCAUACAACAACAAUAUCAAUCAAUUAAGAAAGCCUCCAUUAUAAUUUAUUUAUAUAUGUCCAACCACAAUUUGUGAAUUUAACAAAACAUAUUACGACUAGUUUGUUCGAUUAAUAAAAUCUUUUAAUAUAAUAUGUUUAGAGUUCGAAUCUAUUUAUAUAUAGACGCACAUUUAAGAUUUUUGAAACACUUAUAAUAUAAUUACCUCUUUCUCCAGCUCAUCAAAAUGUGUUGGAAAUAACUCAAUCAACUUUGUGAAUGUUCUCAAGUUGAUAUUUCAUCACCACGUCAGAGAAAGCAAGAUUGACCCCAAAUUGUAGGUUUCUUCAGGUAACUUUCUUUUUCAUGUUCUGCAUUUUUAUUUUUAUUUUUGUAACUUUUCUCUUUUCAAAUCACUUGAACUAGCUUGCCUGUUUAUAU
Molecule: long non-coding RNA, 826 nt
Filed under: Citrus sinensis (sweet orange)
Lineage: Eukaryota; Viridiplantae; Streptophyta; Magnoliopsida; Sapindales; Rutaceae
Description: long non-coding RNA (CSIN_LNC000860)
Source: RNAcentral